CAGAGUCUCACCUCCUUUGUGUAUUAAGAAUUAAAUCUCUCAAAGAUUCUCUCACUACUACAGAUGAUCCCUCUGACAUCCUCACAUGAGUAAUGCCAGUUUGCAGAAUCUGGGCCUCACGUUGCAGGAGGUAGUCACAGAAAAGGGAUGGAAAUGACAUUCAUCUGUCUUCACAACAUCUCUGAAACCUUGUUUACAAGGAAGACAAGUUGCACCAAAGCAAAUAAGACUGGAGCUGUUGACAGACAAGAUGCAGUCAGGAAUUUUUAAUCAAGAGACCAUGUUUGCUGAAGUGACUGUUCACAUCUUUCCUAUGAAAUAAUUCAACUAUCUAUAUUUUCCCUCCCAUUGGAAGUGAAGGUUGCUGAUGUGAUGGCCUCCUAAAAUGAUGCAAUGGAAUACUACUCUGGAGUAUGAAACAUUUUACCGAGAAGAGGAAUAUGCAGCCUUUGUAAUUUCUCCUUCUUGCACUGCUAUAAAGGCUGGGGUCUCUUUUAUGUUUGUGGUAGAAGAGCAUAAUUCCAUCCCCUUGGUUAGCAGUGAAUGCUUGGAGUGGAAUAUGCUACUUAGAACGAGAGAAAGUUUAGGGAUAGAUUAAUAGACUUUUGUGUUAACUGUCUAGUCUUUGGCUGAUAAUAAAAAAAUUUAGAAAUAUAGGCA
Molecule: long non-coding RNA, 660 nt
Filed under: Gopherus agassizii (Agassiz's desert tortoise)
Lineage: Eukaryota; Metazoa; Chordata; Testudines; Testudinidae
Description: lncRNA (ENSGAGG00000024711.1)
Source: RNAcentral